GGCGGCGUGCCUAAUACAUGCAAGUAGAACGCUGAAGGAGGAGCUUGCUCUUCUGGAUGAGUUGCGAACGGGUGAGUAACGCGUAGGUAACCUGCCUGGUAGCGGGGGAUAACUAUUGGAAACGAUAGCUAAUACCGCAUAAUAUUGAUUAUUGCAUGAUAGUCAAUUAAAAGGUGCAAUUGCAUCACUACCAGAUGGACCUGCGUUGUAUUAGCUAGUUGGUGAGGUAACGGCUCACCAAGGCAACGAUACAUAGCCGACCUGAGAGGGUGAUCGGCCACACUGGGACUGAGACACGGCCCAGACUCCUACGGGAGGCAGCAGUAGGGAAUCUUCGGCAAUGGACGGAAGUCUGACCGAGCAACGCCGCGUGAGUGAAGAAGGUUUUCGGAUCGUAAAGCUCUGUUGUAAGAGAAGAACGAGUGUGAGAGUGGAAAGUUCACACUGUGAC
This 451-nucleotide ribosomal RNA is filed under the name Streptococcus sp. oral taxon 058. Its description in RNAcentral is "bacterial SSU rRNA". It matches the Rfam family "Bacterial small subunit ribosomal RNA", at positions 38 to 473 of the family's 1533-position model. Lineage: Bacteria; Bacillati; Bacillota; Bacilli; Lactobacillales; Streptococcaceae. The record is from RNAcentral.